This is a long non-coding RNA of Sapajus apella (tufted capuchin), 1137 nucleotides long. RefSeq lists it as uncharacterized. Lineage: Eukaryota; Metazoa; Chordata; Mammalia; Primates; Cebidae. The transcript is spliced from 3 exons. The record is from RefSeq and is a predicted model, not a curated record.
CCCUCCUUAGGCAACCUGGUGGUCCCCUGCUCCUGGGAGGUCACCCUAUUGAUGCCAAACUUAGUACAGACACCCAAUCAGCAUAGUGCACUAGAGCCCAGAACUCCUGGGCUCGAGUGAUCCUCCCACUUCAGCCUCCUGAGUAGCUGGGACUCAGGUACAUGCCACCAACUCCUCUUGCUUUUUUCCUGAACUUUCUCCUCCCUCCUUUCCUCCCCAUUUCUCCAGUUUCAUUUCCACCUCUUUCCUCUCCUCCUCCUUCUCACCUCCCUCUUGCUUCCCUGUCUCUCCUCCUUGGGUCUCUUCCUUCCUUCUCUCUGGUUUCUCUGUCUCUGCCCCGUCCUUUCCUUUCCCUCUUCCCUGGACCUGUCUCCUCUCCUUGCUCCUUCUCCCUCUCUCCCUCUCUCUCUCUCUCCCCUCCAGACCUCCCACUCCCACUGGCCUCCCUCCUCCAUCUCCAGAUGGCCCCUGCAUCCCUGCCCCGUGGGCCUUUGUCUCCCUCUCCUAUUCCUGCCUUGGCUGCUCCCAGGUCCUGACCAGGAGGCAGGAGUCCACACUGAGUCCCAAACAGGCUAGCCCUGAGCAGGCCCUAAGCCUGAGGCCCAGGAGUGGAACAGACACCUUUGUGACUCCCAUUCUCUCUCUCUUUUCCAUCUGUCUGGAACUCUGGACACUACCUGGAGGAAUCAGACCUGCCGUAGGCCCAGGAAGGCAGAAAGAAGGAAAAUGCUCAGAGACAGGAAGAAACUUGCCUAAAGAUACACAGCAUAUGAGAAAGUCGGUGCCCAGCGUUUCUGAAGAGCAGCAACUGCUAGGACAGGGACUUGGAAGGAACCCGACAAUACCUGAGGGACCAACAGCACUCCCUGAAGGACAUGGAGAGAAGCCACAGGAGCCAAUCUGAGGCAUUCUGAGUGCGUGGAAUCUUCUCUCACCACCUACUGGCAAAUAAUGGAACUGCAACCCAGCUGUAUGAGACACUGACAAUGAUCCCAACAAAAAGGAACAGUGACCAGAAUGCCUGGGGGAGGAACAGGGGAUACUGGGUGAAAGGAGGGGAGAGGGAGAAUUUGUAACAUUUUUUAAAAAUGAACAUUUUUACUCCUAAUCAAUAUAUAAACAUGCUCAGCAAACUGG